GUCACUUUGGCCGAGUGGUUAAGGCGAUGCCCUGCUAUCUCCGGAUAUCUUGAUAGGCAUUGUGUUCGCACGCGUAGGUUCGAAUCCUGCAGGUGACG
This 98-nucleotide transfer RNA is filed under the name Fusarium lateritium. RNAcentral describes it as "tRNA-Ser". It matches the Rfam family "tRNA". From Rfam's summary of the family: Transfer RNA (tRNA) molecules are approximately 80 nucleotides in length. Their secondary structure includes four short double-helical elements and three loops (D, anti-codon, and T loops). The record is from RNAcentral. RNAcentral also lists the same sequence under 2 other names. Lineage: Eukaryota; Fungi; Ascomycota; Sordariomycetes; Hypocreales; Nectriaceae.